This 1519-nucleotide ribosomal RNA is filed under the name Rhodococcoides fascians A78. RNAcentral describes it as "bacterial LSU rRNA". It matches the Rfam family "Bacterial large subunit ribosomal RNA", at positions 1408 to 2925 of the family's 2925-position model. The record is from RNAcentral. Lineage: Bacteria; Bacillati; Actinomycetota; Actinomycetes; Mycobacteriales; Nocardiaceae.
GGUGGAUGCGUGGGACCUGAUCUGGUAGUAGCCAAGCGAUGGGGUGACGCAGGAAGGUAGCUGGGCCAGUCAGUGGUUGUACUGGUGUAAGCCUGUAGGGCGAACGGUAGGCAAAUCCGCCGUUCAUCAAGCCUGAGAGGUGAUGCGUAGCCGAUUGAGGCGAAUUCAGUGAUCCUAUGCUGCCGAGAAAAGCCUCUAGUGAGUUGUUACACGGCCCGUACCCCAAACCGACACAGGUGGUCAGGUAGAGAAUACUAAGGCGAUCGAGAUAACUAUGGUUAAGGAACUCGGCAAAAUGCCCCCGUAACUUCGGGAGAAGGGGGGCCCCUGCCGGUGAUGGAACUUGCUUCCUGAGCUGGUGUGGGCCGCAGAGACCAGUGAGAAGCGACUGUUUACUAAAAACACAGGUCCGUGCGAAGUCGUAAGACGAUGUAUACGGACUGACGCCUGCCCGGUGCUGGAAGGUUAAGAGGACCGGUUAGCCAGUAAUGGCGAAGCUGAGAAUUUAAGCCCCAGUAAACGGCGGUGGUAACUAUAACCAUCCUAAGGUAGCGAAAUUCCUUGUCGGGUAAGUUCCGACCUGCACGAAUGGCGUAACGACUUCUCAGCUGUCUCAACCAUAGACUCGGCGAAAUUGCAUUACGAGUAAAGAUGCUCGUUACGCGCGGCAGGACGAAAAGACCCCGGGACCUUCACUACAGCUUGGUAUUGGUGUUCGGUUCGGUUUGUGUAGGAUAGGUGGGAGACUGUGAAGCGGUGACGCCAGUUACUGUGGAGUCGUUGUUGAAAUACCACUCUGAUCGUAUUGGAUACCUCAACCUCGGACCAUGAUCUGGUUCAGGGACAGUGCCUGGUGGGUAGUUUAACUGGGGCGGUUGCCUCCUAAAAUGUAACGGAGGCGCCCAAAGGUUCCCUCAGCCUGGUUGGCAAUCAGGUGUCGAGUGCAAGUGCACAAGGGAGCUUGACUGUGAGACUGACAAGUCGAGCAGGGACGAAAGUCGGGACUAGUGAUCCGGCACCGGCAAGUGGAAGCGGUGUCGCUCAACGGAUAAAAGGUACCCCGGGGAUAACAGGCUGAUCUUCCCCAAGAGUCCAUAUCGACGGGAUGGUUUGGCACCUCGAUGUCGGCUCGUCGCAUCCUGGGGCUGGAGUAGGUCCCAAGGGUUGGGCUGUUCGCCCAUUAAAGCGGCACGCGAGCUGGGUUUAGAACGUCGUGAGACAGUUCGGUCUCUAUCCGCCGCGCGCGUAAGAAACUUGAGGAAGGCUGUCCCUAGUACGAGAGGACCGGGACGGACGAACCUCUGGUGUGCCAGUUGUUCCACCAGGAGCACCGCUGGUUGGCUACGUUCGGAAGGGAUAACCGCUGAAAGCAUCUAAGCGGGAAGCCUGUUCCAAGAUGAGGUUUCUCACCCCCUCGAGGGGGUAAGGCCCCCGGCAGACCACCGGGUUGAUAGGCCAGAACUGGAAGUACAGCAAUGUAUGCAGGUGACUGGUACUAAUAGGCCGAGGACUUACCACA